AUGUUGGCAUUAUCUAUAAAUUUUGUUAGCUAGAACUUUAUUUUACCAAAUUGUUUCAUUUUUAUGGAUAUUUCUGCAUCUAAGAUUCUUAUUACUAGGAAAUUUGCACUAAUCUAAAAUCAUACUUUUAGUACUAUUUAUAGAUUAUUGUUGCUUCAAGACCUCCCAAUGAAAUGCAUUAUUGUUUUAUGAUAAGCCUCUUGGUUAGGAGACUUGAUGCGAUCUUCCAAUGCAAAUGUCCAAUAUGACCCAAACUCGGGUUGGGUAAGUCGGGUUCAGUUUUAUGAGAUCUACUUUGGUUCAUGAAGUAUGGAUUAUUUGCAAAAUAUUUCAUUAUUUUUGUAGAACACUUUCGGACAAAUGAUUCUUUUUGUAUGCAAUGCGUGGGCCAAAUAAAAUCCUCUUUUAAAUUGAAUGUGAAUUUAAGAAGGUUACAAAAGAUCUGCUCAUACUAUAAAAUUAUGAGUUUGACCCUUGACUCAUGACUUUUUUUACUUUUUAAACAGUUGCCCACGUAGUUGAGUUGGGUUCCUACUGAGUUGGCCUAUUUUAAUGGAUGGUUCCAGUCAAUAACUGGCUUGACUGUCUGGUUCUUACAGGUUUUAAAAGAAUGAUCACUGAAUAUCUCAAAGUUAUUUCAUAUUGGAAUGUGGUAUAGUUUUCUUUGGUUAGGGAAUCAAUUUGAACUAUCUGACUUGGAUUUGGCUUUGUUUUAGCACAAUGGAUGUGUUGUUCACCAAACUAAUUCUUGUGUUUGAUUGGACCAGAUUUUUUUCAAAGUUCAACUACCUUUUGGUUCGUAUGUACUGUAGCUACAAAAUUCAUAGCUGAAAGUUAUGAUUGGUUCUUCUUCAAUUCGUUAAUGAAAACAUGAGGGGACCCCAAAUCGAACAAGCCAAUCCGGAAACCACAUCUCUGGCUCUAACUUCCCUCCCACAACAACCAAUUCAACCAGCAGCUAACAAAGAAAAACGACAUUUGUUUCUUAGCCUGGAAACUAUGACUUCUUAUAUGCAGAGGUCAUUGGUCUAAUUUAGUUUACUUUUUCUCUGCUAUUCACAUCAAAUAUAAAGAGAUGCUUCAUUUUCGUUUACUUCACCCAAUUUCAUAUUCGGACAUAAUGAAUGCUCUCAAUUGGACACUUACAGCUAACACUGUUUAACCACUGUUAACUGAACUUCAUAAUGAAUCUCCUGCAGGUGCGUCAAAUCGACAGAAUGCCAAGAUUAGUGUCCUCCAUGCAGCCCUGUCUUUCGAAGCCCCCAAAUUACUUAAAUCUUGUGAUGUGCAAAACAACAUAAACCCAUUGUAAUCUUCCUUUGUGCAGGUUCUGGACCAUGGUGAGAAGAUUGAGCUUUUGGUAGACAAAACAGAGAACCUCCGCUCACAGCUUACCAAAGAUCGACAGAAGAAACCAGUCCCUUGGAAACAAUGGCAAUCAUUGGCAACAAGGAGAUCAUUGACAUUAACCAAGGUAUGUUAGCUGCUUAGACUGGUGUAAAAAAUAAAAAUAAAAAUAAAAAUAAAAAAC
Molecule: long non-coding RNA, 1531 nt
Organism: Magnolia sinica
Lineage: Eukaryota; Viridiplantae; Streptophyta; Magnoliopsida; Magnoliales; Magnoliaceae
Exons: 2
Source: RefSeq, a predicted model, not a curated record